UUUGAACAGUGUGUGGUGGAGGAG
RNAcentral lists this non-coding RNA (24 nucleotides) under Mus musculus (house mouse). The record is from RNAcentral. Lineage: Eukaryota; Metazoa; Chordata; Mammalia; Rodentia; Muridae.